GCAGAAAUCCUUUGUCCUCCAAGUAGGACACUACUUGCCCAGCCAUGGCAGAUGGUGUGGGGCAGACUCCAUCCUUCUCUUGUAUUUCUAUCUCACAAUUCAAAGGUGGUUCAUAAGGAUCAUCUAUACCAGUAAAACCUUUAAUCUUUCCAGCACGUGCAAGCUUGUAGAGGCCUUUAGCAUCUCUUGACUCACACAAUGACAGAGACAUGUUCAUGAAAACCUCGAUGAAAUUUGCAUCUGCCAACAUUGCACGGCAAGCAUCCCGGUCUUUUCCGUAUGGUGAUAUUAGACUAGCAAUGCAUAUCAAACCAGCAUCUGCAAAGAGUUUUGCCACUUCACCAACUCUGCGGAUAUUUUCAGUUCGAUCUUCGGCACUGAAACCCAGGCCUUUGUUCAGUCCAUGGCGUAAGUUAUCUCCAUCAAGAACAUAAGACAGCUUCCCCCUAGAGUGCAGUUCUCUGCUUAGAGAGCAUGCCAGUGUGCUUUUCCCUGAUCCACUAAGCCCCGUUAUCCACACAACACAUCCCUUUUGGUUAAGUAGUUUAUGCCUCUCAGUCUUCCCAACUGGGCAUUCGUGCCAAAAUAUAUUAGAAGAGUUUGCCAAAGUAGACAUAGGAGAUUCUUUUUCUUGAUUUCACUCUCUACGAACAAACAAUGCAAUCAACAACAGCCCCGAGAAAGGCUUGAAA
This 692-nucleotide unclassified non-coding RNA is filed under the name Hevea brasiliensis (rubber tree). Lineage: Eukaryota; Viridiplantae; Streptophyta; Magnoliopsida; Malpighiales; Euphorbiaceae. The record is from RNAcentral.